UGCACGUGCACUUUUGCGGUAGUGGGUGU
Molecule: non-coding RNA, 29 nt
Filed under: Rattus norvegicus (Norway rat)
Lineage: Eukaryota; Metazoa; Chordata; Mammalia; Rodentia; Muridae
Source: RNAcentral